CCUACGGGAGGCAGCAGUGAGGAAUAUUGGUCAAUGGUCGGGAGACUGAACCAGCCAAGCCGCGUGAGGGAGGAAGGUACAGAGUAUCGUAAACCUCUUUUGUCAGGGAACAAAGGCGGGGACGUGUCCCCGGAUGAGUGUACCUGAAGAAAAAGCAUCGGCUAACUCCGUGCCAGCAGCCGCGGUAAUACGGAGGAUGCGAGCGUUAUCCGGAUUUAUUGGGUUUAAAGGGUGCGCAGGCGGGCUGUUAAGUCAGCGGUCAAAGCCCGGGGCUCAACCCCGGCCCGCCGUUGAAACUGGCAGGCUCGAGAUGGAGAGAAGUAUGCGGAAUGCGCGGUGUAGCGGUGAAAUGCAUAGAUAGCGCGCAGAACUCCGAUUGCGAAGGCAGCAUGCCGGCUCCACACUGACGCUGAGGCACGAAAGCGUGGGUAUCAAACAGGAUUAGAUACCCGGGUAGUC
Molecule: ribosomal RNA, 459 nt
Filed under: uncultured bacterium
Lineage: Bacteria
Description: partial 16S ribosomal RNA
Rfam family: Bacterial small subunit ribosomal RNA
Source: RNAcentral